ACGAGAGUGCCUUCGGGAGGCCGAAGACAGGUGCUGCAUGGCUGUCGUCAGCUCGUGUCGUGAGAUGUUGGGUUAAGUCCCGCAACGAGCGCAACCCUUGUCUUUAGUUGCCAUCAUUCAGUUGGGCACUCUAAAGAGACUGCCGGUGUCAAACCGGAGGAAGGUGGGGAUGACGUCAAGUCCUCAUGGCCUUUAUGACCAGGGCUACACACGUACUACAAUGGCCGGUACAAAGGGCAGCCACUUAGCGAUAAGGAGCCAAUCCCGUAAAGCCGGUCUCAGUCCGGAUUGGAGUCUGCAACUCGACUCCAUGAAGUUGGAAUCGCUAGUAAUCGCAGAUCAGCACGCUGCGGUGAAUACGUUCCCGGGCCUU
This 373-nucleotide ribosomal RNA is filed under the name uncultured Desulfocapsa sp. RNAcentral describes it as "bacterial SSU rRNA". It matches the Rfam family "Bacterial small subunit ribosomal RNA", at positions 1008 to 1382 of the family's 1533-position model. The record is from RNAcentral. Lineage: Bacteria; Pseudomonadati; Thermodesulfobacteriota; Desulfobulbia; Desulfobulbales; Desulfocapsaceae.